UACGGAGGAUCCAAGCGUUAUCCGGAUUCACUGGGUUUACAGGGUGCGUAGGCGGGCAGAUAAGUCAGUGGUGAAAUCUCCGCGCUUAACUCGGAAACUGCCGUUGAUACUAUUUGUCUUGAAUACUGUGGAGGUAAGCGGAAUAUGUCAUGUAGCGGUGAAAAGCUUAGAUAUGACAUAGAACACCAAUUGCGAAGGCAGCUUACGACACAGCGAUUGACGCUGAGGCACGAAAGCGUGGGGAGCAAACAGG
This 253-nucleotide ribosomal RNA is filed under the name uncultured bacterium. RNAcentral describes it as "partial 16S ribosomal RNA". It matches the Rfam family "Bacterial small subunit ribosomal RNA", at positions 524 to 776 of the family's 1533-position model. The record is from RNAcentral.